UGGGGAAUUUUGCGCAAUGGGCGAGAGCCUGACGCAGCAACGCCGCGUGGAGGAUGAAGGUCUUUGGAUUGUAAACUCCUGUCAGCGGGGAAAAAGGGACUGUGGUUAAUACCCAUGGAACUUGAUUGUACCCGCAGAGGAAGCCCCGGCUAACUCUGUGCCAGCAGCCGCGGUAAUACAGAGGGGGCAAGCGUUAUUCGGAAUUAUUGGGCGUAAAGGGCGCGUAGGCGGCCAUUCAAGUGACGGGUGAAAGCCCUCGGCUUAACCGAGGAACUGCCUGUCAGACUGGAUGGCUUGAGACCGGGAGAGGUGAGUGGAAUUCCCAGUGUAGCGGUGAAAUGCGUAGAUAUUGGGAGGAACACCAGUGGCGAAGGCGGCUCACUGGACCGGAACUGACGCUGAGGCGCGAAAGCGUGGGGAGCAAACAG
RNAcentral lists this ribosomal RNA (428 nucleotides) under uncultured bacterium. Its description in RNAcentral is "bacterial SSU rRNA". It matches the Rfam family "Bacterial small subunit ribosomal RNA", at positions 355 to 775 of the family's 1533-position model. The record is from RNAcentral.